AUUGAACGCUGGCGGCAUGCCUUACACAUGCAAGUCGAGCGGCAGCGGGACCUUCGGGUUGCCGGCGAGCGGCGGACGGGUGAGUAAUGCCUAGGAAUCUGCCUGUUAGUGGGGGAUAACGCGGGGAAACUCGCGCUAAUACCGCAUACGUCCUACGGGAGAAAGCGGGGGCUCUUCGGACCUCGCGCUAACAGAUGAGCCUAGGUCGGAUUAGCUAGUUGGUGGGGUAAUGGCUCACCAAGGCGACGAUCCGUAACUGGUCUGAGAGGAUGAUCAGUAACACUGGAACUGAGACACGGUCCAGACUCCUACGGGAGGCAGCAGUGGGGAAUAUUGGACAAUGGGCGAAAGCCUGAUCCAGCCAUGCCGCGUGUGUGAAGAAGGUCUUCGGAUUGUAAAGCACUUUAAGUCGGGAGGAAGGGCUGUAGGUUAAUACCCUGCGGUUUUGACGUUACCGACAGAAUAAGCACCGGCUAACUUCGUGCCAGCAGCCGCCGUAA
This 500-nucleotide ribosomal RNA is filed under the name uncultured bacterium. RNAcentral describes it as "partial 16S ribosomal RNA". It matches the Rfam family "Bacterial small subunit ribosomal RNA", at positions 30 to 523 of the family's 1533-position model. The record is from RNAcentral.